AAAUUUUAUUUGGGUGCAUAGGAUGGCCUGGAUGGGUGUAGGAUUUCCCGGCCUGAAAUUGUGUCCCAGUCCGGCCCUGUAUUCAAGUGUGUGUGCAUUUUUACUUCUGCAUUCUGUAUGCCUGUUACUCAAGCUUACUCUUGAACUAUAACAUACUCCAAAUAUUGUCGGCUCUUUUAUGCUAAAUUGCUUGCCAUUUUCCUCUUUUGUAAGUCCCUUUGGAUAAAUCUAUCUGCCAAGUAAUGAAAUGUAAAUGUGUGGAAGCAUGUCUCCCCAUCAGGCAGCCCACUCAGGAUGCUCCAGAGGAGGUGAGAGCUUGUGAUUUCAGAUGCGAGCUGGAAGAGAGGGAGAGAGUUACUGUUAAGAGCAGAGACAGAGGAGCAAGAGUGGCCACGUCUUGAUCAGAUUCCUGCUGCCAACCUGGAUGCUGAUGACCCCCUCACUGAUGUAUUCACACUCUUUAUGCAGUCACACACACUAUGUAUUUAUACAUGUGGAAGGAUUUUGGCUGCAGUCUGAAUGUGUGUGUUUGUGUUUCAGGAUGAAGAUGACUCUGACUCAGGUUCUGACAGUGAUGAUGACACCGCCGCUCUGCUGGCUGAACUGGAAAAGAUCAAGAAGGAGCGAACCGAGGAGCAUGAGAGGAAGGUGAACUUCACUCCCAAAUCAGAGCACUCAUAGCCCUGAAAUCAGCUUGAUCAAAUUGGAACUCUUGAGUCAUCACAGUGUGUGUGGGAGUUAGGAGCGGGAACAGAAAGGAGAGGAGAGGAAAUUAUUUGUAAUAAUUUAGUAAAAACGUGGGAUGAUGAUGUUGUGUUUAAGAACUGCGCUAAAGGAGUGGAUGAAUCUCGUAAAGAGAAACGCUUCAUUAAUUCCACAAAAAAUUAAUGGAGAAAUAUGUUAAAUAAUAUG
This is a long non-coding RNA of Xyrauchen texanus (razorback sucker), 912 nucleotides long. RefSeq lists it as uncharacterized. The transcript has 3 exons. The record is from RefSeq and is a predicted model, not a curated record. NCBI's taxonomy places the organism in Eukaryota, Metazoa, Chordata, Actinopteri, Cypriniformes, Catostomidae.